RNAcentral lists this ribosomal RNA (451 nucleotides) under uncultured bacterium. Its description in RNAcentral is "partial 16S ribosomal RNA". It matches the Rfam family "Bacterial small subunit ribosomal RNA", at positions 354 to 796 of the family's 1533-position model. The record is from RNAcentral.
GUGGGGAAUAUUGGACAAUGGGGGGAACCCUGAUCCAGCCAUGCCGCGUGUGUGAAGAAGGCCUUUUGGUUGUAAAGCACUUUAAGCGAGGAGGAGGCUACCGAGAUUAAUACUCUUGGAUAGUGGACGUUACUCGCAGAAUAAGCACCGGCUAACUCUGUGCCAGCAGCCGCGGUAAUACAGAGGGUGCAAGCGUUAAUCGGAUUUACUGGGCGUAAAGCGCGCGUAGGUGGCCAAUUAAGUCAAAUGUGAAAUCCCCGAGCUUAACUUGGGAAUUGCAUUCGAUACUGGGUGGCUAGAGUAUGGGAGAGGAUGGUAGAAUUCCAGGUGUAGCGGUGAAAUGCGUAGAGAUCUGGAGGAAUACCGAUGGCGAAGGCAGCCAUCUGGCCUAAUACUGACACUGAGGUGCGAAAGCAUGGGGAGCAAACAGGAUUAGAAACCCUGGUAGUCC